Molecule: ribosomal RNA, 400 nt
Filed under: phytoplankton environmental sample
Lineage: Eukaryota
Description: partial small subunit ribosomal RNA
Rfam family: Eukaryotic small subunit ribosomal RNA
Source: RNAcentral
AGCUCCAUUAGCGUAUAUUAAAGUUGUUGCAGUUAAAAAGCUCGUAGUUGGAUUUCAGUACGGGCCAGUUGGUCGGCCGCAAGGCCUGUUACUGGCUGGUCUGUUCUUCUUGUCAAAGACUGCGUGUGCUCUUCGUUGAGUGUGCGUAGGAUUUGGGACGUUUACUUUGAAAAAAUUAGAGUGUUCAAGGCAGGCUUUUCAGCUUGAAUACAUGAGCAUGGAAUAAUGGAAUAGGACUUUGGUCCUAUUUUGUUGGUUUCUAGGACCGAAGUAAUGAUUAAGAGGGACAAUUGGGGGCAUCCGUAUUUCGUUGUCAGAGGUGAAAUUCUUGGAUUUACGAAAGACGAACAACUGCGAAAGCACUUGCCAAGAGUGUUUUCAUUAAUCAAGAACGAAAGUA